This is an RNA transcript of Haliotis rufescens (red abalone), 2285 nucleotides long. It is a transcript of the gene named BTB/POZ domain-containing protein 6-A-like, with no coding region annotated. Lineage: Eukaryota; Metazoa; Mollusca; Gastropoda; Lepetellida; Haliotidae. The transcript has 9 exons. The record is from RefSeq and is a predicted model, not a curated record.
CUUACAUGAAUAAAUUAACCGUAAAUCGCCAUUGUUUUUUCAAGUGAGGUCAAGCGAAGAUUUGUCAGCGCUGGAAACGGAAAUUUGGACAUGAAUGGACCCUUGACAUCCAUAUACGCAAUAGGUGGAACUGGAAGACAUGCUUUUGCAAGAUACGUACUUUAGUUUUGUGAUUGGUUGUUACCAUGAAUGAGCCUGACAACAGCCUCACAUUUGAUAGCCAGCCAAUGCCGACUUCGGAUGAAGAUUCCCAGUACCGAUAUGGGAGCCAACUUUCACAGAUACUCAGGCUGUAGACAUUGAUGCAACUAUCCCCCCCCCUCGCAGGCGGUCACCAGUGAUGAAGCUUAAGGUCCCUCAUCAAAACAAAGCACUAGUUAUGAGGCUUCUGUACUAUACAUCUCUAUUUCGGACGAGGAAUCCCAGUCAAUCAUUCUGAAGAAGAGACGUACAAUUACUGUUGGCCCUUUUUUGUGUGACUGAGGAUACUCCCCCAUACACGUCCAUGAGGGUAGUGCCUUAUGUGGUCAGAUGUGUUUGUAACUAAUUUUUCUUGCAUAUGAGGAUAUUCCCCAGAUCAGUCCAAACCAGUAGUGCUUCAUUUGGCUUGUCCUUCCUUCAAACGGCUGUGGGUACCCCUGUUGAGAGCUGUCUUGAGACUGAAUUUUCUUCUCAUCUCAAUUUUUGUCAUUCCGACAGACAGACAUGGCAGCAGGAUCUGGAUUCGUGGAUAACUGGCAGAGCGGGAGGUCCGUGGUUGAGUGUAACCACCACAUGCUGACCUCGGAACACAACUCUGACGUCACCUUCCGGGUUGGCAAAGGUGAAAAGCCCAUCCGGGCACAUCGCUAUGUGCUCACCAGCCGAAGCUGUGUCUUUGAUGCAAUGCUGUGUGGCCCCCUGGCGGAGAAAGAUGACAUCAAGAUACCUGACGUCGAGGCAGGCAUAUUCUCAGAGAUGUUGGUGUACUUGUACACAGAUGACGCGACUGUCACACCUGGGAAUGUCACUGGAUUGCUGCUCCUGGCCACGAAGUACACCGUGGGGGGUCCCUUAAACUUACAGACUAGUUACCCCCUUCCCCCAAACUUACAGACUGGUUACCCCCUUCCCCCAAACAUACAGACUAGUUACCCCCUUCCUGAAAACUUACAGACUGGUUACCCCCUUCCCCCAAACUUACAGACUGGUUACCCCCUUCCCCCAAACGUACAGACUAGAUACCCCCUUCCCCCAAACUUAUAGACUAGUUACCCCCUUCCCCCAAACUUUCAGACUGGUUACCCCCUUCCCCAAAACUUACAGAAUAGUUACCGCCUUCCUGAAAACUUACAGACAUGUUACCCCCUUCCAAUAAACUUACAGACUAGUUGCCCCCUUCCCACAAACUCACAGACUGGUAACCCCCUUCCCCAAACUUACAGACAUGUUACCCCCUUCCCAUAAACUUACAGACAUGUUACCCCCUUCCCAUAAACUUACAGACUGGUUACCCCCUUCCCUUAAACUUACAGACUAGUUACCCCCUUCCCAUAAACUUACAGACUGGUAACCCCCUUCCCCCAAACUUACAGACUGGUUACCUCAUUCCCGAAAACUUACAGACUGGUUACCCCCUUCCCCCAAACUUACAGACUGGUUACCCCCUUCCCCCAAACGUACAGACAUGUUACCCCCUUCCCUCAAACUUACAGACAUGUUACCCCCUUCCCCCAAACUUACAGACAUGUUACCCCCUUCCCCCAAACUUACAGACAUGUUACCCCCUUCCAUCUAACAUACACACAAGUCCCCCCUCCCCCCAAACUUAAGGAAAUACGGUUUCUAUUCGACACGACCUGGCCACAAACUUAGUUAUCAUACAGUUCUAAGAUUCACUAAAUCAACUCUCAUAAUAUAUUAUCACAUAACUCAACCUGAACGAGACUUUUUUAAUGAGCUGUUAUUGAAUCGUUCAGAGAAGAAUUGCUUGUGUGCGUGCGUACUUGCAUGCGUGCAUGCAUUCGUAUAUUCCAGAAACAAUGGAUGCGACAUUUGACUCGUGUGAAAUUCAUAACACUUCACGCCAGAACUGCUUUGUCCGCCUCAACGACACAGGAUGGCAAAGUAAGGCAAGAAAAUACUGAUUAUGUGAAAAUGUCAACCACUGGCGUAAAUAUCAACUUUGUCAAGAAACCACAUGAGAAAAGCACGUUAUUCGACAAGAAAAGACAAGACAAAUAUCCUCUUUGCAUGCUUUCGUAUCUUUAUGUAGUUGCUAAAAAGAAAUAAACAACUAUCUUGUG